AUGGAGCCGACCUUGAAAUACCACCCUUUAAUGUUUGAUGUUCUAACGUUGGCCCGUAAUCCGGGUUGCGGACAGUGUCUGGUGGGUAGUUUGACUGGGGCGGUCUCCUCCUAAAGAGUAACGGAGGAGCACGAAGGUUGGCUAAUCCUGGUCGGACAUCAGGAGGUUAGUGCAAUGGCAUAAGCCAGCUUGACUGCGAGCGUGACGGCGCGAGCAGGUGCGAAAGCAGGUCAUAGUGAUCCGGUGGUUCUGAAUGGAAGGGCCAUCGCUCAACGGAUAAAAGGUACUCCGGGGAUAACAGGCUGAUACCGCCCAAGAGUUCAUAUCGACGGCGGUGUUUGGCACCUCGAUGUCGGCUCAUCACAUCCUGGGGCUGAAGUAGGUCCCAAGGGUAUGGCUGUUCGCCAUUUAAAGUGGUACGCGAGCUGGGUUUAGAACGUCGUGAGACAGUUCGGUCCCUAUCUGCCGUGGGCGCUGGAGAACUGAGGGGGGCUGCUCCUAGUACGAGAGGACCGGAGUGGACGCAUCACUGGUGUUCGGGUUGUCAUGCCAAUGGCACUGCCCGGUAGCUAAAUGCGGAAGAGAUAAGUGCUGAAAGCAUCUAAGCACGAAACUUGCCCCGAGAUGAGUUCUCCCUGAGACUUAGAGUCUCCUGAAGGAACGUUGAAGACGACGACGUUGAUAGGCCGGGUGUGUAAGCGCAGCGAUGCGUUGAGCUAACCGGUACUAAUGAACCGUGAGGCUUAACCUUACAACGCCGAAG
This 763-nucleotide ribosomal RNA is filed under the name Escherichia coli. Its description in RNAcentral is "partial 23S ribosomal RNA". It matches the Rfam family "Bacterial large subunit ribosomal RNA", at positions 2180 to 2925 of the family's 2925-position model. The record is from RNAcentral. Lineage: Bacteria; Pseudomonadati; Pseudomonadota; Gammaproteobacteria; Enterobacterales; Enterobacteriaceae.